GUGCCAGCAGCCGCGGUAAUACGGAGGAUCCGAGCGUUAUCCGGAUUUAUUGGGUUUAAAGGGUGCUCAGGCGGGCGAUUAAGUCGGCGGUGAAAUUUUGCGGCUCAACCGUAAAAGUGCCUUCGAAACUGGUUGCCUUGAGUGUGGAUGAGGUAGGCGGAAUUUGUGGUGUAGCGGUGAAAUGCAUAGAUAUCACGAGGAACUCCGAUUGCGCAGGCAGCUUACUAAGCCAUAACUGACGCUCAAGCACGAAGGCGUGGGGAUCAAACAGGAUUAGAUACCCUGGUAGUCCACGCAGUAAACGAUGAUUACUGGCUGUUUGCGAUAUAAUGUAAGCGGCUGAGCGAAAGCGUUAAGUAAUCCACCUGGGGAGUACGUUCGCAAGAAUGAAACUCAAAGGAAUUGACGGGGGCCCGCACAAGCGGAGGAACAUGUGGUUUAAUUCGAUGAUACGCGAGGAACCUUACCCGGGCUUGAAAUGCAUCUGGCGUCUCCAGAGAUGGGGAUUUCCUUCGGGACAGAUGUGUAGGUGCUGCAUGGUUGUCGUCAGCUCGUGCCGUGAGGUGUCGGCUUAAGUGCCAUAACGAGCGCAACCCUCAUCGUUAGUUGCCAUCAGGUGAAGCUGGGGACUCUAACGAGACUGCCAUCGUAAGAUGCGAGGAAGGUGGGGAUGACGUCAAAUCAGCACGGCCCUUACGUCCGGGGCGACACACGUGUUACAAUGGGUGGUACAAAGGGCAGCUACAUGGCGACAUGAUGCCAAUCUCCAAAACCACUCUCAGUUCGGAUCGGAGUCUGCAACUCGACUCCGUGAAGCUGGAUUCGCUAGUAAUCGCGCAUCAGCCACGGCGCGGUGAAUACGUUCCCGGGCCCUUGUACCACACCGCCCGUCAAGCCAUGGAAGC
RNAcentral lists this ribosomal RNA (905 nucleotides) under Ruminobacillus xylanolyticum. RNAcentral's name for it is "bacterial SSU rRNA". It matches the Rfam family "Bacterial small subunit ribosomal RNA", at positions 505 to 1411 of the family's 1533-position model. The record is from RNAcentral.